Non-coding RNA from Callithrix jacchus (white-tufted-ear marmoset), 5155 nucleotides. NCBI's taxonomy places the organism in Eukaryota, Metazoa, Chordata, Mammalia, Primates, Cebidae. The record is from RefSeq and is a predicted model, not a curated record.
ACCCAGCACUCACUGUGAUGCUGUCUUCGUGGCCCCUCCAAAUCUCCCACCUCCACCCCAGGCCUGACAGGCAGCCUCAGGUUCCCUGGCUGCAGGAGCGUCAGCUCUGAGGUCAUGGGCACUGGCAAGUUCACAGCCCAGUCCUCCAGCCACCCAUCCCCCUCCCAUUUUCUCUGGCACGGCAGAGCAGAGCACAGGAAGCCUGAAUGGCCCUCAAGCCAGCCAUCAUGCGGUGCUGCGAGUACCUUCAGCGGCUGUGGACUCACCGGAGAGGGAUCUUGACCCGGAGGUAGCGGUCCACAGCAAUUGCCAGCAAAGCCAGGAUGGAGCUCUGGGUGAGGAUGAGGACUGGACAGGCAACCAUGAGGCAGGUGUGGAAGUAGGUCUGUGGCCCAAUGUUGAUGAGGAUGGCAAGGGGGAUGACCAGGGCACCCACGGCCACAUCAGCCACCGCCAGCGACACGAUGAAGCAGAAGGUGGCAUCCCGCAGCGCCUGGUUCACCUUCACCGCCCAGAUCACCAGCACGUUCCCGGGCACAGAGACCAGGGCGAUGAGCACCUCGAUGCCGAUGUAGGCGGCCUGGAAGGCUGAGAUGGAGGGCGGCAUGGCGGGGACAGGCUGGGAACAUCAGCAGACGGGCACCAAAGGGCACGAGGCAAGCACCUGUGUGGUCAGGGAAGCCUGGGAUGGGGAGGCCCGUCUGGCAGGGCAGGGAGCCCAGGCUGCCCUGGAACUCUAGGUAACCCGCGGAGACGUGUCCCACUUGGCACAUGCAGCUCCUGCCCAGGCUGGAGGGGCACCUGGCCCCUUCUCUGCCUAAUCUUUGUCCCUUCCCUUUAUCGUCCCCACAGGUUCCAUUCAGCAACUUAAAAUAGCAGCGCUCACUCCUCCACUGGCUUUUUUAUCAGGUGUGAGGCAGCUCCCAGCGCGCGCGCGCGCGCACACACACACACACACACACACACACACACGGGUCUUCCAUGCCUGGCUCUGCCCACCCCUGUGCACAGGAUGCAGGGAGCUCACCAUCCUGCCUGCUGGCCGGCAGGGGUCCCAGAGGCAGUGCCCAAAGUUCCGGGCAGCAGAGCUCGGGGCCGCGCGCGGUAGGGCUGGGCUGGGUUCUGGACACCGCGCGGCAGCUCACAGUCCUCGGGCUCCCGCCGCAGCGCUCCCAGCCCGGCCUUUCAAGCAAUCACAUGGUGCUGCAGAGACUCACCCCGGACGCUUUUAAAGAGGUAGCGCCCCUGAUUCGCACCUGGGACUGGGGUGGCAGACGCGGGUCUAGGGACAGCCGAGGAACAGACUGGGGCGUCGCUCCCUAUAACCCAGCGUGCGCGCACCUACCCUGCGCCCACCCACUUGAGACGCGUCUGGUGCCUGGAUCUUAGCAGUCCCCUGGUCCCGCUCCAGCUCUGUCGGGUACCCUUGCCCAUGGCCUGCCCCAAGGGGGCAUUGCAGUCUCUUCUUUCAGCUCUCGCCUGCACCCGCCUUGGGGAGCCCAAGGGACGAACCAAGGCUCAGACUUACCCAAGGUCACCAAAGCUGGCGGAGCUCCCGGCUACCUGAGCCGUACUGUCCAAGUGCCCCCUUCAGCAGUCGCUCGCUCCAGGGAUUCCUGGGGAAGCCAAGGCCGGCCUGUAAGGUCUAGAGGGAUGGUAGUUGGCUGGGACUCGACUCGGGCGCCGGCGCCUCUGUCGCCCCCGGCGCGGGAGCUGAGUGACAAUCGGGCUCCGCACACCGGGAGAGGACGGGGGCGGCGGCGGCACUCGCGGGCCCCUCCCUCCUCAUCCUCCGUCUCCUCCCCCACCCCCUCCUCUUAACAAAGGAAGUGUUACUGGGUGAGAAAAGCUGGAAAAAUGUGAUCUUUUCGAAGGGCCUGGUGUGUGCGCCCAGCCUCAGGAUUGGACAGAGGCGCAGCCUUCCUGUGUCCACUUUCUCCCUUCUCAAUGCAGGACUCCUGGGAGCCCUGGUCUGGCCUCCAGCAACCCCUCACCCCUCACGGCAAAGCAUCUCUUCUGCAGGACUUCAGAAUGCCCCCUGUGGGAUCUCCCAAAGCAGUUAGUUGGUAGCCCCGGCACCCUCCCCCAAUCCUAAAACCCUGCUCUCUCCAUGAAACCAGUCCUUGCAUCUUCUCAUCCCGCAUUGUUUUGCAGACUCUACCCUGAGUCAUUAUAUUCCUUUCUCAUCCAUCUUUCAGAACUGCCUUUUAGUCUAUUAGCAAUUUCCAUUUUGCAGAUGAGGAUGCUGAGGCUCCGGGAAGUGACCCAGCCUCCCCGGAUCGCCUGUCAGUGUCACCGGCCCUGCGCUCCUUUUCCUUCCUCCUCCCUCUUCGUAGCACAGCGCUAAGCCAUAAGGCAUCCAGUUCAAUCCCCUCAUGUUAUAGAUAAAGAAGCAGGCUCAGGGAAGGAAGGGACUUCGAAAGGUCACAGGGCAAAUCCUAACAGGACUUGCCUAACAAAAUACGAAACCCAGGCUCCUGACUCUCUCCACUGUCCAGACUCCUCCCCUGGCCACCUUCUGCCAGUUUCGGUUUAGGCAGUGCACUGGUAUUAACUAAUGACCAGACCCUGGAAACAGAUGAAUGUCUCAUAGAGAUCCCAACCUGAGAAAUCCUUUUUGUCGGUAUUGGGCAAGGGUCCUAGGAGGGCAAAGAGAGUUAGGCUGGGGACCCCAAUGUUACCUAGCCACAACCCAACCCGGCCUCUGGAGGUCCUUGCCCCUCAUUGGAUCACAGAAUGCAAGGAAAAGGGUUCUGCCCAGAGGAGGGUGAGUACGUUGCUUCUGCUGGGGGCUGCACUGAAUCACCCUGAGGAAUGAGGUGGGACCUGGAAGCUGGGUAGCUGGGAGGCGGGGAGGAAGGGCAGUUGAGUCUUCUGAGGAGGAGGGAAAAGUCCUCUGUGGGGAAAGAUAACUUCCAUUUCUGCCUUUAGGGGGAGCAAGGACUCAGUGCCUCAGACAACAAAAUCACAUUCCUUCCCUAGAAGCUACUUGGAGAAAUUGGGAAGUGUAAACUCCUCUUCCUCCUCACCCCCCUCCACUUCCCCUGCUGACUUUGUCAACACGCCCAGCAGCACCUGACAUUCUGCCCGUUUUGCCUGCCAGCCAGACAUGAAGGUCUUUUCCACCAUCCCCUGCCUCUCCGCCCUUCCCUUGGCUUAAGCCAUUUUUGGCUCAAGGCUUUCUCUCUCAGUUUACACUCAGCUUCCCAAUGGUCACUCAUCUAGAUGUCAGAAGAGCCUGCAAAGACCCAAAUGGACCCAGCUUGGGGACAGGGGUAGGUGAGUGGGGUCUUCCCCUCUAACCAUGGGCAGCAUCUUCAGCUCUGAAGGGCACCUGAAUGCCCACCCCCACCACCCACAUGCAUACACUCCCUCCUCCAAUGUCUUACUACAGGUCGCUGACAUGUAGUGGAUGCAUUUGCAUAAUGCGUGUAGGUAGUUUGUUUGUUUCUCAGUUAUGGGCAAAAUAAGCCAAAACUUUCUUCCCCUCGCUUCUCCAUCCUUCCACCCCUGCCUGUUCCCAGGCCUCAGGGAUUAGACCAGCCUAUUUGACAGCAGAAGUGGGCAAGGCAGGGUCUAUUCCAGAGAGCUGCCUUGGGAGAAGCACAUGGUCUCCUCCAUCCUCUGGCUUGAAACGGAGGUGGGAGGGUUAGUGCUGGGAUCGCCUGUGCAGCAGGGCCAUUUGGUGUGGUGAAAAGAACAUUUGACCAAAGUCAGAAGAGCUGGAGCUUGCUUCUAGUCUCUACUCUGCCGCUCACUGUCUGUGUGAGCUCAAGCAGGUCACUUUUCCUCUCCUGGACUCAGUUUACCCAUCUUACACCAACAGCUGGUAAGUCCAUUCCAAGGUGGGAGAGAUGGGCUGAGAUGGAGACCACAGAACUCGGUCCUUCCACCUGGAAACGUUCUAAGUCCAGGCUCCCCCAUGAUGGGCAGAUACCAGGGCUGAGAGGAGGGGAAGUUUAUGAUGGAGGCAAGUAGAGGGAGAGGCAAGGUCACAGGUCUAUAACCAGGAAAGGACAAUGAGGAAGGCUGUAGGCAAACAGGUGAAGCCAUAACUCUCUGGCUUUCACAAUGUGUCCAAAGCUUCUAUUUUACCUGUGACUCCGGGGGUGAGAUAAUGCCACAGUAAGUGUAAAGAUCCCCUGGGGUCCUUUUACCUCUUGGUCCUACUUCUUUCCUUCCUAAGCCACCAUCAUGGGUUUCUCCACUGGCCCCUUCCACCUGCAGCCUCCUUACUGUGGGCAGGGGUGAGUGGGGAAGAUGGAGGGCUGCAGGGGAGGGACUCCUGGGUGAGGGGAACUAUGCUGAGCAGCCCUGCUCUCUUCUCCCUGGAAGUCUCCAAAUUGGACUAGACUCCCCUGGUCAGGAAGGACUGCCCACGAAGGAUGAAGUAUCCCAGCACACCUCUCGGGAGCCCAGAAGGGAAGGCAAAAGAUAAGGAAACUGAGACCCAGAGAAGGAAUGAACUUGGCCAUACCCACGGAGCCAUCAGGAGCAGGGCUUGGUGCCCGGGAGGGUCCCGGAGUUGUGGAGGACUACUAUGAAGAUGCCCCUCAGGAGCUGCAAGCAUGGGGGUUGCAAGCCCGGCUGGAUCAAUCUCUGCCCAGAAUCAGCUGGAGUUCCCGGCGGUGUGUCCAAGGGGUCCUGGACACGAGAGGACCAUACUGGCUGGCAGGGGCUGGGGAGGAUUCUGGAGAAAGCAACACAUAGCCUGGGCCUUGGAGGAGGUGCCGGAUGCUCUGUGCUUGCAGAGAUGGGCUGGUGGCCAGGAGGAGGACUUUGUGGGCAGAGAGGGGACGAACAGCCUGAGCAAGGGGUGUGGGAAAUUGCGUGGCAUGUUGUGGGCAAGACCAAGGGCUUGACUGGCCCCAGGAUGAGCAUCAGAGUGACAACUAGGGGCCACGUUGCUGAGGCCCCAAGGGCAGGCUGAAAGGACUGUAGUGGGUGAUUCACCCACUUAAAGGCCUCACCCACAGAAGGCCUUCGCCCAGCCCUAGAUCUGCCCUGUAGCACUGAGGAAAGCCCGACCAACCCCCACAUCUCCCUGAGCCUCAGUUCUCUUAUACAUAAAAGAACAUUACCUCUUUGACUUCAUGUGAAAGUACUUUUUAGGUUAUAAAUUACUAGACAAAUACACAGUCUGCUCUGUUGGUAA